RNAcentral lists this transfer RNA (84 nucleotides) under Bradyrhizobium elkanii. Its description in RNAcentral is "tRNA-Leu". It matches the Rfam family "tRNA". From Rfam's summary of the family: Transfer RNA (tRNA) molecules are approximately 80 nucleotides in length. Their secondary structure includes four short double-helical elements and three loops (D, anti-codon, and T loops). The record is from RNAcentral. Lineage: Bacteria; Pseudomonadati; Pseudomonadota; Alphaproteobacteria; Hyphomicrobiales; Nitrobacteraceae. RNAcentral also lists the same sequence under 2 other names.
GCGGACGUGGCGGAACUUGGUAGACGCGCCGGUCUCAGGAACCGGUUCUUCGGAGUGUGGGUUCGAUCCCCUCCGUCCGCACCA